AUACGGAGGAUGCAAGCGUUAUCCGGAUUUAUUGGGUUUAAAGGGUGCGUAGGCGGUUUGCUAAGCGGGAGGUGAAAUGCCGGCGCUCAACGUCGGAAGUGCCUCCCGAACUGGUGGACUGGAAUGACUCUGCCGUGGGAGGAAUGUGUAGUGUAGCGGUGAAAUGCUUAGAGAUUACACAGAACACCGAUUGCGAAGGCUUCGUACGAAGGGUUGAAAGACGCUGAGGCACGAAAGCGUGGGGAUCAAACAGGAUUAGAGUCCCUGGUAGUCCACGCAGUAAAAGAUGAUGGCUAGACGCUGGUUUUGGCGGAUCAGUGGCCAAGCGAAAGCGAUAAGCCACCCACCUGGGGAGUACGACCGCAAGGUGGAAACUCAAAUGAAUUGGCGGGG
RNAcentral lists this ribosomal RNA (393 nucleotides) under uncultured bacterium. RNAcentral describes it as "partial 16S ribosomal RNA". It matches the Rfam family "Bacterial small subunit ribosomal RNA", at positions 523 to 918 of the family's 1533-position model. The record is from RNAcentral.